AAUAAGUUCAUUUGUAGGUUUCUUUGUUCAAUGUUUGAUUGUCCGUCUUAUUUUAAAAAAGUUAUAAUUAGUACUUUUGUUGUUAUUAGAUUAUAAAAUAUGCAUGAAUAGUAUUUUAUGUGUAACUUACAUUUUUAAAAAAUUUAUAUUUUUUCAAAUAAGAUGGACGGUCAAACGUUGAACACAAAAACCCACAAAUAAACUUAUU
Non-coding RNA from Oryza nivara, 208 nucleotides. Lineage: Eukaryota; Viridiplantae; Streptophyta; Magnoliopsida; Poales; Poaceae. The record is from Rfam.